AUGGUCGAUCGUCUCGGCACGAAUCUUAAAGCAGCCCAGAGCCUUAGCUCGCCGGAAACCAUCGAAUCGGCAGUUUCCAGCGAGCCAGUAGGAGCUGGUGCUCCGCUUCCUGUUGCCCACCGUCGGGUCGUCCUUGACUCAGCCAUGCCCUCCCCCUCGUCGUCCUCGUCUCCGAUGUCGGUAAGCAACACCCCUCCCCCCUAUGUUAGGAGAUCAAUGGAGAUCAUCUCAAGGUACUUCAAGCAAGUGCUCUAUGAUGUUGGGGAGCUCAGAGGAGAGAUGAUCAAGUCACCAACCAGCCGGACUCCUACCAAGAUUUGCACUAGUCCAAGAUGGUAUCAUACUUCAAGUGACAACAUGAGUUGUUCUGAUGGCAUCAACAUCCCCGAUGGCAAGUUCUACCUAGAAGAUGCUGACUAUGCAUGCCGGCCAAUAUUCUUCCACCUUUCAGGAAAACCAGUCAUUAACAAGGAGCUACAGACGGUUGCAAAGACCAUUGAGAAAGGGAUUCAAACAAAAGAUAUUGUAGAUGAGGCCAUGACAGUGCAGGUCGAGGAGGCGGAGGAAGAAGAUCAUAAUGGCAAGGAGAUCGGCAGCGCUACAACAAGUCACGCGGUAGAAGUUUUUCUAUUAAGAAGAUUACACUUUGGCAAGAGGAUUCUCGUGAUUGAGAAUUUGCUAGCUAUUGGUAUGAGAUCCGUCCGCGGCGACGGAUUACUUGCCGGUUACUUCUACUCCGACGGGAGGUGCCUUGUUUGCCAAGGUAUUGCUUGUCAGUUGUUGUUACCAUAG
This 792-nucleotide ribosomal RNA is filed under the name Triticum aestivum (bread wheat). RNAcentral describes it as "partial small subunit ribosomal RNA". Lineage: Eukaryota; Viridiplantae; Streptophyta; Magnoliopsida; Poales; Poaceae. The record is from RNAcentral.